GUACAGGGAGGUCUGUGAGUUCCAGGAUAAGAGCUGCAUUACAAGGUGCCAUGGCCAGCUCACCUUCCUUAGGAAUUGGGACCAGCUCGGGCAGGGAGUGACUUGUCUAGGCACCUAGGUAGGAUCAAGUGUCAGAGCAAAAUGGAGCGCUUGUGUGCUCAGCUGUACAGCGCUGCUCCGCUCCUCCCUGGAGUGGUGGAGGGCCUUGGGAUUCAGCAGCCGAUGACAUCUUCCAGAUCCCUUCUUGCAGUGGGAAUUCAGAGCCUCAUGGAGUCUACCCACCUCCCCAAGAGAGCGGGACCUAGGCAAAGCUUCGAUAUCUGCUGAUGUCGGACUUUGGCAGUGUUCAAUUAGAAAUUAAAUUGAAGAUGGAAGAAUGACAUUCAUAAAAGCAACCAGAGCGGCAAGGUAUCCGAGUAUUUAAGACCUUGGGGAAUUCAAUGUAGCAUCAAAAAGUCCCCCCCCCCCCCAACAACCGAUCCUUACUCAAGAGGGACUAGCCAA
Long non-coding RNA from Peromyscus leucopus (white-footed mouse), 504 nucleotides. RefSeq lists it as uncharacterized. The transcript has 3 exons. Lineage: Eukaryota; Metazoa; Chordata; Mammalia; Rodentia; Cricetidae. The record is from RefSeq and is a predicted model, not a curated record.